AUUGAACGCUGGCGGCAGGCUUAACACAUGCAAGUAGAGCGGGGGGAGGUAGCUUGCUACCGGACCUAGCGGCGGACGGGUGAGUAAUGCUUAGGAAUCUGCCUAUUAGUGGGGGACAACAUCUCGAAAGGGAUGCUAAUACCGCAUACGUCCUACGGGAGAAAGCAGGGGAUCUUCGGACCUUGCGCUAAUAGAUGAGCCUAAGUCGGAUUAGCUAGUUGGUGGGGUAAAGGCCUACCAAGGCGACGAUCUGGAGCGGGUCUGAGAGGAUGAUCCGCCACACUGGGACUGAGACACGGCCCAGACUCCUACGGGAGGCAGCAGUGGGGAAUAUUGGACAAUGGGGGGAACCCUGAUCCAGCCAUGCCGCGUGUGUGAAGAAGGCCUUAUGGUUGUAAAGCACUUUAAGCGAGGAGGAGGCUACUUUAGUUAAUACCUAGAGAUAGUGGACGUUACUCGCAGAAUAAGCACCGGCUAACUCUGUGCCAGCCGCCGCCGUAA
Molecule: ribosomal RNA, 501 nt
Filed under: uncultured bacterium
Lineage: Bacteria
Description: partial 16S ribosomal RNA
Rfam family: Bacterial small subunit ribosomal RNA
Source: RNAcentral